UCCCAUGACGGCAAAACAAAUUUUUAACUCAUGGCAAUUCGUGACUCAUUUUAGAAAGCUAUUCUGCGUGGUUGACCCCAUGCCAAUUUAUUUAUACCCUAGUUAGCUCCUUAAAAGGAUCUGAGGAGGCAGCAGUUGAAUUUUUUAAACGAUCAAGCAGCAAAAAGAGCACUGAAUCAAGACCACUAAAUCGCUGACCGUAGAUCUGAUGAAGUGGAGGGAGCUUUAGAUAGGAGCUUGUUGACUGGUCAAGUGAUGCAAAGGAUCUAGCUGAACGCUCUGCGACACUGGGAACAGCAUCACAGCAAGAUGAAAGAAUCCUGGAUCCCUGAGUCACUGCCUGAAUGGGAGUCACCAAAGAGAGCCAUUGUUCAAAUUUGUGUGAAUGAGAAAUAUACUUUUACUCUGUUGUGA
Long non-coding RNA from Lagenorhynchus albirostris (white-beaked dolphin), 414 nucleotides. RefSeq lists it as uncharacterized. The transcript is spliced from 2 exons. The record is from RefSeq and is a predicted model, not a curated record. Lineage: Eukaryota; Metazoa; Chordata; Mammalia; Artiodactyla; Delphinidae.